This 464-nucleotide ribosomal RNA is filed under the name uncultured bacterium. RNAcentral describes it as "partial 16S ribosomal RNA". It matches the Rfam family "Bacterial small subunit ribosomal RNA", at positions 32 to 507 of the family's 1533-position model. The record is from RNAcentral.
AACGCUGGCGGCGUGCUUAACACAUGCAAGUCGAACGGAAAGGCCCUGCUUUUGUGGGGUGCUCGAGUGGCGAACGGGUGAGUAACACGUGAGUAACCUGCCCUUGACUUUGGGAUAACUUCAGGAAACUGGGGCUAAUACCGGAUAGGAGCUCCUGCUGCAUGGUGGGGGUUGGAAAGUUUCGGCGGUUGGGGAUGGACUCGCGGCUUAUCAGCUUGUUGGUGGGGUAGUGGCUUACCAAGGCUUUGACGGGUAGCCGGCCUGAGAGGGUGACCGGCCACAUUGGGACUGAGAUACGGCCCAGACUCCUACGGGAGGCAGCAGUGGGGAAUAUUGCACAAUGGGCGGAAGCCCGAUGCAGCAACGCCGCGUGCGGGAUGACGGCCUUCGGGUUGUAAACCGCUUUCGCCUGUGACGAAGCGUGAGUGACGGUAAUGGGUAAAGAAGCACCGGCUAACUACGUG